ACUCGAUAUAAUAUUAUAUUAUGUAAGUGUACUUCGUAGGCAUUGUAACCGCACUGUGUGUUAUCGAAUGUCACACUGAGUUUCGGAUUAGGCCCGUUUUACGCUGACGAACGAAACGGACAUUUUGUUCCGGAUACGAUAAAUUCAACUAAAAACGGUUUAUACAAUCGUAUAAAGAUUAAAGACAACAUCACAAAAAUUAAAUUCGUCACUUAAUCUGCCCGAAACUUCAGGUUCUUAAAUAACGUGAUUUUAAUCAAAAAGAUAAAAAAAAGUUAGGGAGAGGUGUGCCACUAUU
This is a non-coding RNA of Cinara cedri, 298 nucleotides long. The record is from the annotation of a GenBank genome assembly. NCBI's taxonomy places the organism in Eukaryota, Metazoa, Arthropoda, Insecta, Hemiptera, Aphididae.